UUAAAUAAAUGAUCAGAAAUCCAUUACAGUAAAUUACUAUCAUUGUAAACAACUGUAGCAUUAAAUAAAAUGCAGUAACCAAUUAUUUGGAGCAAAUUGUCAUUACUUAAAUGUGCGUAAGAGUGCUCUUGAGUGUGCGUAGAUUUUGUUCUUGGAACAAAUCCAAGAUAAGAAAACAUUAGUGAAUGUCAGAAUCAUUUCAAAAAGUGCGUAAGUGGGGUUUGAGAACACAUUUCUUUGUAAGAAUGGUUGGUGAAUGAGGCCC
Etheostoma spectabile (orangethroat darter) is the source of this 265-nucleotide long non-coding RNA. RefSeq lists it as uncharacterized. NCBI's taxonomy places the organism in Eukaryota, Metazoa, Chordata, Actinopteri, Perciformes, Percidae. The record is from RefSeq and is a predicted model, not a curated record. The transcript has 3 exons.